UCUGGGUCCAGUCUUGGCUCCUCCGAGAGGCCCCAGGUGCCUCUGCCGCGGCUUCUGUCGUGCAGUCUCCUGUUCUGUGACCUCUACUUGUGACAGGAGCCGUAGGGAGGACGCCGGGAGACCCGAAAGUCGAGAAAUGGACUCAGUGGUCUUUGAGGAUGUGGCUGUGAACUUCACUCUGGGGAAGUGGGUUUUGCUGGAUCCUUCCCAGAAGAAUCUCUACAGAGAUGUGAUGCAGGAAACCUUGAGAAACCUGGCCUCUGCAGAAGUCUUAUGGGAAAGAGACUGUUUGAAAGUAAAGAAGGUAGUUUGUGUGGAGAACCUUUGAGUCAGAGUUCAGAUCACAUGCUGAAUAGGAAGAGUCCUCCUGGAGUAAAACCAUGUGAAAGCAGUGUGUGUGUAGAAGUUUCUAUUGGUCAUUCAAUCCUUCACCGGCACAUCGGAGCUAGAAUGGGACACAAACCGUUUCACUAUGAGGAAUUUGGAAAUAAGCUAUGUACAUAUCAGCAAUGUGAGAAAACCCUCGGUUAUCAUGACCCCUUUCGAACAAAUGACUUCUUUCCACCCACUGGAAAGAAACCCUAUGAUUGUACAAAAUGUGGAAAAACCUUCAUUUCUCUCACAUGCUUUAGAAGACACAUGGUAAUGCACAAUGGAGAUGGACCUUAUAAAUGUAGGUUUUGUGGAAAAGCCUUUUCAUUUCUCAGUUUAUAUCAUAAACAUGAAAGAAUUCACACUGGAGAGAAGCCAUAUAAAUGUAAACAAUGUGGGAAAGCUUUCCAUUGCUCCAGUUCCCUUCAACCACAUGAAUGAACUCACAAUGGAGAAAAGCCAUAUGAAUGUAAGAAAUGUCAGAAAGCAUUCAAUUUUUUCACUUCUUUUCGUAGACAUGAAAGGACUCACACAGGAGAGAAGCCAUAUGAAUGUAAGGAAUGUGGGAAAACAUUCCGUUCUCCCAGUUCUGCUCAUAGACAUGAAAGGACACACACUGGAGAAAAACCCUAUGAAUGCAAGCAAUGUGGGAAAGCUUUUUCUCAGUGGAGGAGCAUUCAGUGUCACAUGAGAAUACACAGUGCAGACAGACCUCACAAACGUAGAGUAUGUAGGAAAGCCUUUUAUUCUCCCAGUUCAUUUCAAAGACAUGAAAGAAGUCACACUGAAGAGAAGCCCUAUGAAUGUAAGCAAUGUGGUAAAGCCUUCCAUUGUCUCAAUUCAUUGCAAUAUCAUAAAAGGACUCACACUAGAGAGAAAAACUAUGAAUGUAACCAUUGUGGUAAAGCCUUCACAUGUUCCACAUACCUUCAUAUAUAUGAAAGAGUUCAUGCUGGAGAGAAACCCUAUGAAUGUAAAGAAUGUGGGAAAGCCUUCAUUUAUUCCAGUGCCUAUCGAAGACAUUAAAGAAGCCAUACUAUAAAUAUAUGAGAGAAAUCUGAGUUAUGUAAGGAAUUGGGAAAGCAUUUGAUUGUCAUAGUUCCUUUCAAGCACAGGAAAGGGGAGUGGAGAAAGACCCUAUGAGGUAAUUGCCUUUGGAGUUGAGGGGAGAGACCUGUGAUAGCACAAUAAAAUGUAGAGUUUGAGUUGCAUGAUUCCAUGAUACAUUUGUCCAAUAGUUUAUAUUCUAGAGAUUUUGAAGGCAAAUGUGAGGAAGGCAUUAGUCAUGUUUUGGAGGCACCAUACAGGGAGACAUACAGAUUCAAAUCGGCUAUGGGGACACCUGCUUCCAGCCCAUUUUCCUGAUUCCUUAGCUUGCCCUUCAACAAUAUCCUCACAAUCACUUGAUUGUUAUUUUUCUCAGAGGUGUAGAUUUCCAAAGAUGUCUCCAGAAGCUCCACAUUAAAGAUUCAUUAGCUGUUUGACUUUCUUUCAGGCAUUGUAAUGUCUUCAGCAGAGAAUUCCAACUAUCAUAGAUGGGGUAUUCUCUGAUGCUCAGUUCUCCUAAUCUAUCGAUGUAGUGGUAUAUGGUCUAAUUUGUAUUGCAAGCGCCUUUUUUCUACUGGUUAUGACUCUGUUCCUGAUUCAGCAUGACAGCUACCAUGCUGCCCUCAAAAUCAACUGGAUGGGAACUUGUUCCUCUGCUGCAUUGAGCAGUGACUAGUCUCACCCAGAACUUUCAUGUGAGAAUGAGCACCUUUCUCUUUUCAGGAAAUUUUUAGUGUUUCCUGUUAUUCACAGCUGAAUCUACUGACUCCAUUCAUAUUCAAUUAUGUUUCAUUAUAUGUGAUUAAAAACAGUACAUACUUUUUUUGGCCACCAAGAUUU
Long non-coding RNA from Lemur catta (Ring-tailed lemur), 2259 nucleotides. RefSeq lists it as uncharacterized. Lineage: Eukaryota; Metazoa; Chordata; Mammalia; Primates; Lemuridae. The record is from RefSeq and is a predicted model, not a curated record. The transcript is spliced from 3 exons.